UAAUACGGAGGGGGCUAGCGUUGUUCGGAAUUACUGGGCGUAAAGCGCACGCAGGCGGUGUAGUUAGUCAGAGGUGAAAGGCUUGGGCUUAACCCAGGAACUGCCUUUGAUACUGCUAUGCUUGAGUCCGGGAGAGGGUAGUGGAAUUCCCAGUGUAGAGGUGAAAUUCGUAGAUAUUGGGAAGAACACCAGUUGCGAAGGCGGCUACCUGGCCCGGUACUGACGCUGAGGUGCGAAAGCGUGGGGAGCGAACAGGAUUAGAUACCCUGGUAGUCCACGCCGUAAACGAUGAGUGCUAGUUGUUGGGGUUUUUGCUCUCAGUGACGCAGCUAACGCAUUAAGCACUCCGCCUGGGGAGUACGGCCGCAAGGUUA
RNAcentral lists this ribosomal RNA (374 nucleotides) under uncultured Alphaproteobacteria bacterium. RNAcentral describes it as "bacterial SSU rRNA". It matches the Rfam family "Bacterial small subunit ribosomal RNA", at positions 521 to 896 of the family's 1533-position model. Lineage: Bacteria; Pseudomonadati; Pseudomonadota; Alphaproteobacteria. The record is from RNAcentral.